RNAcentral lists this transfer RNA (72 nucleotides) under Sturnira bakeri. RNAcentral's name for it is "tRNA-Glu". The record is from RNAcentral. Lineage: Eukaryota; Metazoa; Chordata; Mammalia; Chiroptera; Phyllostomidae.
UAUUCUUACAUGGCUUCACCCAUGACCAAUGGCAUGAAAAACCACCGUUGUACUUCAACUAUAAGAACAACA